Molecule: ribosomal RNA, 453 nt
Filed under: uncultured Porphyromonadaceae bacterium
Lineage: Bacteria; Pseudomonadati; Bacteroidota; Bacteroidia; Bacteroidales; Porphyromonadaceae
Description: partial 16S ribosomal RNA
Rfam family: Bacterial small subunit ribosomal RNA
Source: RNAcentral
ACGGGAGGCAGCAGUGAGGAAUAUUGGUCAAUGGGCGGAAGCCUGAACCAGCCAAGUCGCGUGAAGGAUGAAGGUUCUAUGGAUUGUAAACUUCUUUUGUUCGAGGGUAAAGUGAGUCACGUGUGGCUUAUUGCAAGUAUCGAACGAAUAAGCAUCGGCUAACUCCGUGCCAGCAGCCGCGGUAAUACGGAGGAUGCGAGCGUUAUCCGGAUUUAUUGGGUCUAAAGGGUGCGUAGGCGGGAUGUUAGGUCAGCGGUUAAAUAGUGUAGCUCAACUAUACUUCACCGUUGAAACUGGCGUUCUUGAGUGUAAACGAGGUAGGCGGAAUGUGACGUGUAGCGGUGAAAUGCUUAUAUAUGUCACAGAACCCCGAUUGCGAAGGCAGCUUACCAGGAUACAACUGACGCUGAGGCACGAAAGCGUGGGUAUCAAACAGGAUUAGAUACCCUGGUA